Molecule: transfer RNA, 77 nt
Filed under: Manouria impressa
Lineage: Eukaryota; Metazoa; Chordata; Testudines; Testudinidae
Description: tRNA-Leu
Rfam family: tRNA
About the family: Transfer RNA (tRNA) molecules are approximately 80 nucleotides in length.
Source: RNAcentral
AUUGAGAUGGCAGAGCCGGGUACAUAAUGCAAAAGGCCUAAGCCCUUUAUUCAGGGGUUCAACUCCCCUUCUCAGUU